RNA transcript from Pseudomyrmex gracilis, 1269 nucleotides. It is a transcript of the gene named ARS-binding factor 2, mitochondrial, with no coding region annotated. NCBI's taxonomy places the organism in Eukaryota, Metazoa, Arthropoda, Insecta, Hymenoptera, Formicidae. The transcript is spliced from 5 exons. The record is from RefSeq and is a predicted model, not a curated record.
CAUUGAACUUAGUGUAUAAUCAUGGCGACCUGGCGAUUGUUGUCACACACGAACUUUGUCAACUUUUUCUGUAUAAGGAGAUUAGCCCAAGAUUCUGUGACAUCAAAACUCAAGCAUGAUACAGAUGUAUUGCCGUUAAAACCAAAGAAACCAAUAAAUCCAUUUAUGCAAUAUCUUCUCACAGUACGAAGCAAUUUACAAAACCAAUAUCCUGACUAUCCAUAUAAAGACAUUAUAAAAAAGGCAUCAGAGCAAUGGGCACAGUUGGAUGCUGUAACAAAACAGAAUUUGCAAAAACAGUAUACAGAACAAUAUUUUGCUUAUAAACAAAAAUUAAUAGAUUAUGAAAAAUCUCUAACAACUGAUCAGAAAAUACUGAUUAAAGAAGAAUUAAUGAGGAAAGAACUUGUCAAAGAAAAGAGAGAAUAUGCUAAGGAAAAAAGUCAAAUUAAACAGAAACUUGAGGAACUUGGGAAACCAAAACGACCAUUGUCUGCCUUCUUUUUAUUCAUGCAAGAUAAAAUGAGUACUAAAAAUCCAGAAAUAUCACAGAAAGAUUGGAUGAGCAAUAUAAGUAAAGAAUGGAAAGACAUGACAAAGGAAGUUAAAACUAAGUACAUAGAUCAGGCAAGGCAUUUAACAGAGAAAUAUAAGGCUGAGUUGCAAAAAUGGGAGGAAGACAUGAUUAAAGCAGGCCGUCGUGACUUGUUGAGGUCCAGUGUUAAAUCUAAACGCAAUACAAGCAUUGGUAUAAAUAAAGAAUAGGAUUCAGAGUGCCUCAACCAAACUAGUAUGCAAAUUGUUGAGCCUGUCUUUGCAGAUCUUCCUGGUAUUAGCAUCCAAAACAAAGAGAACAUUAAAAUAGGUUGGGGCACUGAUAUUGCAUAUGAUAAAUUUGAAAAUGGUCCUGGCGCAAGUCAACAGUUAGAGUCUACAAAAAGCUCAGUACUUUAUAAUGACAGACAUGAUUCACAAAUUGUUACGAAGUAUUCAAAUGAUGGUCGAGAUACAUUGAUAAAAAACGCUAGUAACUCUGUACAGUCUCGUGGUACUUGUACACAGGUGUAUGAGUAUCUUGCUUCCUUGUGGAAGAAAGUUUUAAAAAUUCUGAAAGAAGCUGGCCAAAACUGGAAAACGAAAUAAUGUGGAUAAAGAGAGAUUUGCUUACUGAUCGUCACUGUGGCAACAACACAAAUGCAUCUGAUUCUUUUAUAUACAUAUGUAUACAUUUAUACCUUUAUAUGUAUACAUUUUUACCUCAAACAUUUA